RNAcentral lists this long non-coding RNA (964 nucleotides) under Marmota monax (woodchuck). The record is from RNAcentral. Lineage: Eukaryota; Metazoa; Chordata; Mammalia; Rodentia; Sciuridae.
AAAAUACUUGUGCACACAGGACAGAGCAUGGCUUGAUCUUCAAAGUGACUCCUUUUCUGUAUUUACAGGAGGAUUCAAGAGGAUCCAUAAUUGGUAUGUAUCCUGGCCUCACUCUCUUCCUGUUGCAAAAUGUAGAUGAUGCCAAGGGUCAGAGAGUCUUCCUUCCUUUGGAGUGCAGAGUCUCAGUGAUUCCACUACCUCCUUGAGAAUGAGAAGUGAGGGGUUUGUGGUCUAAAUUGAUUUAAAAAAAUCUAUGGCCAUUCUGCAUAUUUCCUUGAAGCACCUGUGUGAGUUGAUCAAAGUGGUUAGGUCAAUGAGAGUUUUAUACAUGUGUCUCUGUGUGCAUUCAUGCAACAUGAUUCUGAGUGUGACUUUGUAUUUGUUUUUGCACAUUUGUUUGUUUCUCUAGAUAUAUACAUGCCAACAUGCCAAUGUCCACAUGUUUAAACAAAAAAAGCCAUCUCCAUUAGAUCAUGAUUUUGUAUAUGUGUAAAUAGAUCAAACUGUAAACUUUCCAUGUGUGCAGUUCACUCCACACCAAUCCCUCAAUUAACAUGCAAAACAUAUCCCAUCAAAACCCAGAAAAUUUUCACGACACUCUAUAAAGAAAAAGCUCCAUUUCAUUCCUCUCACUGCACCAGUAGCAACUUCAUUUAAUAGCAAACCUCACCUGUCAGUAGGUCCUAUAUUUAAUCAGUGCAUGUGAUUGUUCACAACACUUCACUCAUGAAAAUUUUUCACGUUCAUAUACAUUUUUUGUGAGAGGUGUCAGAAUUCAUCUUCCAAUCCCCAUUCUAGGCACAAGUUUCUGGACAGGGCCAAUCCUUAACAGUGACCCUCAGGUCCACCAAUGCACUAUGCUCACUUAUGGUGGACAUCUGAGACAGAGGAGAUGCACAGGCCAGAGAUUACUAUAGCUAAGGAAGGGCUUACUUUGUAUGUUCCAACUGACACUGAAAGCUAC